Molecule: ribosomal RNA, 245 nt
Filed under: uncultured Roseomonas sp.
Lineage: Bacteria; Pseudomonadati; Pseudomonadota; Alphaproteobacteria; Acetobacterales; Roseomonadaceae
Description: partial 16S ribosomal RNA
Rfam family: Bacterial small subunit ribosomal RNA
Source: RNAcentral
UACGAAGGGGGCUAGCGUUGCUCGGAAUUACUGGGCGUAAAGGGCGCGUAGGCGGUCAUUUUAGUCAGGCGUGAAAUUCCCGGGCUUAACCUGGGGACUGCGCUUGAUACUGGGUGACUAGAGGGUGGAAGAGGGUCGUGGAAUUCCCAGUGUAGAGGUGAAAUUCGUAGAUAUUGGGAAGAACACCGGUGGCGAAGGCGGCGACCUGGUCCAUUACUGACGCUGAGGCGCGACAGCGUGGGGAG